RNAcentral lists this ribosomal RNA (227 nucleotides) under uncultured bacterium. RNAcentral describes it as "partial 16S ribosomal RNA". It matches the Rfam family "Bacterial small subunit ribosomal RNA", at positions 109 to 334 of the family's 1533-position model. The record is from RNAcentral.
AGUAACGCGUGAGGAACCUGCCUCAAAGGGGGGACGAACAGUUGGAAACGACUGCUAAUACCGCAUAAGCCCACAGCUCGGCAUCGAGCAGAGGGAAAAGGAGUGAUCCGCUUUGAGAUGGCCUCGCGUCCGAUUAGCUAGUUGGUGAGGUAAUGGCCCACCAAGGCGACGAUCGGUAGCCGGACUGAGAGGUUGAACGGCCACAUUGGGACUGAGACACGGCCCAG